ACACGUAUGAAAGACAAGCUGAAAGACUUUUCUCAAUGAUGUAAGUGGUGGUGCAUGGUCGUUCUUAGUUCGUGGAUUGAUUUGUCUGGUCUAUUCCGAUAACGAGCGAGACCCCGACGUUCCUAAUAGGGGCGGCAGCCCGGCUUGACUGCUUCGGUGGUCCUGCUAGCAGCCGCUUUAUUAGCUUCUUAGACGUAUCAGAGCCGAUAAGGUUCUUGAAAUGGGUUAAUAACAGGUCAGUCAUGCCCUUAGAUGUUCUGGGCCGCACGCGCGUUACAAUGGUAUACAUUAGAACGUGCUCUCAAGGGCGUCUCCGCAGCCGACGGGUUGCGGUAACCCCUAAUCUCUCCCUUGACUGGGACAGACUAUUGCAAUUAUUGGUCUCCAACGAGGAAUUUUUAGUAGUCGCAGGUMAUUAACYUGCGACG
This 428-nucleotide ribosomal RNA is filed under the name Didymium intermedium. RNAcentral's name for it is "SSU rRNA". It matches the Rfam family "Eukaryotic small subunit ribosomal RNA", at positions 1241 to 1663 of the family's 1831-position model. The record is from RNAcentral. Lineage: Eukaryota; Evosea; Eumycetozoa; Physariida; Didymiaceae.